AUUUUUAUUGUCCAAUUUCAAGUCUUGGUUAAUUUACAAUUUAGGAAUUGGUGGAAUUUGUUUUAAGGAGGGAAAUUCAAACAAGUCUUGGAGCCUUUUCAAAUUCAAGUUUUCAAGACUUGACUUUUAUAGUACUUUUCCUUAAAACAUGGACCCUUGUUUCAUGGGAAAGUGGUUGAGAAGUGAUGUAAAGUCUUUAGUGUGUAGGAAAAGUCUUUGAGUCACAAGUACUACACCUUGAAACUUGGAUCUAUGUCUUGCAAGACUAACACAAUACACA
RNAcentral lists this long non-coding RNA (280 nucleotides) under Capsicum annuum. RNAcentral describes it as "long non-coding RNA (CANN_LNC012288)". The record is from RNAcentral. Lineage: Eukaryota; Viridiplantae; Streptophyta; Magnoliopsida; Solanales; Solanaceae.